AAUCAAACCGGGAGAUAGCUGGUUCUCCCCGAAAGCUAUUUAGGUAGCGCCUCGUGAAUUCAUCUCCGGGGGUAGAGCACUGUUUCGGCAAGGGGGUCAUCCCGACUUACCAACCCGAUGCAAACUGCGAAUACCGGAGAAUGUUAUCACGGGAGACACACGGCGGGUGCUAACGUCCGUCGUGAAGAGGGAAACAACCCAGACCGCCAGCUAAGGUCCCAAAGUCAUGGUUAAGUGGGAAACGAUGUGGGAAGGCCCAGACAGCCAGGAUGUUGGCUUAGAAGCAGCCAUCAUUUAAAGAAAGCGUAAUAGCUCACUGGUCGAGUCGGCCUGCGCGGAAGAUGUAACGGGGCUAAACCAUGCACCGAAGCUGCGGCAGCGACGCUGAUGCGUUGUUGGGUAGGGGAGCGUUCUGUAAGCCUGUGAAGGUGUGCUGUGAGGUAUGCUGGAGGUAUCAGAAGUGCGAAUGCUGACAUAAGUAACGAUAAAGCGGGUGAAAAGCCCGCUCGCCGGAAGACCAAGGGUUCCUGUCCAACGUUAAUCGGGGCAGGGUGAGUCGACCCCUAAGGCGAGGCCGAAAGGCGUAGUCGAUGGGAAACAGGUUAAUAUUCCUGUACUUGGUGUUACUGCGAAGGGGGGACGGAGAAGGCUAUGUUGGCCGGGCGACGGUUGUCCCGGUUUAAGCGUGUAGGCUGGUUUUCCAGGCAAAUCCGGAAAACUAAGGCUGAGGCGUGAUGACGAGGCACUACGGUGCUGAAGCAACAAAUGCCCUGCUUCCAGGAAAAGCCUCUAAGCAUCAGGUAACAUCAAAUCGUACCCCAAACCGACACAGGUGGUCAGGUAGAGAAUACCAAGGCGCUUGAGAGAACUCGGGUGAAGGAACUAGGCAAAAUGGUGCCGUAACUUCGGGAGAAGGCACGCUGAUAUGUAGGUGAAGUCCCUCGCGGAUGGAGCUGAAAUCAGUCGAAGAUACCAGCUGGCUGCAACUGUUUAUUAAAAACACAGCACUGUGCAAACACGAAAGUGGACGUAUACGGUGUGACGCCUGCCCGGUGCCGGAAGGUUAAUUGAUGGGGUCAGCGCAAGCGAAGCUCUUGAUCGAAGCCCCGGUAAACGGCGGCCGUAACUAUAACGGUCCUAAGGUAGCGAAAUUCCUUGUCGGGUAAGUUCCGACCUGCACGAAUGGCGUAAUGAUGGCCAGGCUGUCUCCACCCGAGACUCAGUGAAAUUGAACUCGCUGUGAAGAUGCAGUGUACCCGCGGCAAGACGGAAAGACCCCGUGAACCUUUACUAUAGCUUGACACUGAACAUUGAGCCUUGAUGUGUAGGAUAGGUGGGAGGCUUUGAAGUGUGGACGCCAGUCUGCAUGGAGCCGACCUUGAAAUACCACCCUUUAAUGUUUGAUGUUCUAACGUUGACCCGUAAUCCGGGUUGCGGACAGUGUCUGGUGGGUAGUUUGACUGGGGCGGUCUCCUCCUAAAGAGUAACGGAGGAGCACGAAGGUUGGCUAAUCCUGGUCGGACAUCAGGAGGUUAGUGCAAUGGCAUAAGCCAGCUUGACUGCGAGCGUGACGGCGCGAGCAGGUGCGAAAGCAGGUCAUAGUGAUCCGGUGGUUCUGAAUGGAAGGGCCAUCGCUCAACGGAUAAAAGGUACUCCGGGGAUAACAGGCUGAUACCGCCCAAGAGUUCAUAUCGACGGCGGUGUUUGGCACCUCGAUGUCGGCUCAUCACAUCCUGGGGCUGAAGUAGGUCCCAAGGGUAUGGCUGUUCGCCAUUUAAAGUGGUACGCGAGCUGGGUUUAGAACGUCGUGAGACAGUUCGGUCCCUAUCUGCCGUGGGCGCUGGAGAACUGAGGGGGGCUGCUCCUAGUACGAGAGGACCGGAGUGGACGCAUCACUGGUGUUCGGGUUGUCAUGCCAAUGGCACUGCCCGGUAGCUAAAUGCGGAAGAGAUAAGUGCUGAAAGCAUCUAAGCACGAAACUUGCCCCGAGAUGAGUUCUCCCUGACUCCUUGA
This 2013-nucleotide ribosomal RNA is filed under the name Shigella boydii. Its description in RNAcentral is "bacterial LSU rRNA". It matches the Rfam family "Bacterial large subunit ribosomal RNA", at positions 831 to 2826 of the family's 2925-position model. Lineage: Bacteria; Pseudomonadati; Pseudomonadota; Gammaproteobacteria; Enterobacterales; Enterobacteriaceae. The record is from RNAcentral.